RNAcentral lists this long non-coding RNA (205 nucleotides) under Vigna radiata. Its description in RNAcentral is "long non-coding RNA (VRAD_LNC009142)". The record is from RNAcentral. Lineage: Eukaryota; Viridiplantae; Streptophyta; Magnoliopsida; Fabales; Fabaceae.
GUGUUUAGAUACAUAAUCUAACAUCCAUUUCAAAACGACGUAAUUUUUUUUUCUUUUCCAUUUCAGACGGCAACAUAGAACUUGUGGUCAUCGAUUUCACCAAAUUCACUUCCACAACCAAAAACAUUAGGUGACACAAAUAAACAUUAAAAAAUAAAAAAACAGUGAAUCUAAGGUAACCCGUGAGUGAAGAAUCUGAAUCACG